UACGGGGGGUGCGAGCGUUAAUCGGACUUACUGGGCGUAAAGGGCGCGUAGGUGGAUAGAUAAGUCAGAUGUGAAAACCCUGGGCUCAACCUAGGACGUGCAUAUGAUAUUGUUUAUCUAGAGUAUGGUAGAGGGAAGAGGAAUUUCCGGUGUAGCGGUGAAAUGCGUAGAUAUCGGAAGGAACAUCAGUGGCGAAGGCGUCUUCCUGGGCCGAUACUGACACUGAGGCGCGAAAGCGUGGGUAGCGAACAGG
RNAcentral lists this ribosomal RNA (253 nucleotides) under uncultured bacterium. RNAcentral describes it as "partial 16S ribosomal RNA". It matches the Rfam family "Bacterial small subunit ribosomal RNA", at positions 524 to 776 of the family's 1533-position model. The record is from RNAcentral.